RNAcentral lists this ribosomal RNA (388 nucleotides) under uncultured organism. RNAcentral's name for it is "bacterial SSU rRNA". It matches the Rfam family "Bacterial small subunit ribosomal RNA", at positions 45 to 433 of the family's 1533-position model. The record is from RNAcentral.
UGCUUAACACAUGCAAGUCGAACGGUGAAGGGAAGCUUGCUUCCCGGAUCAGUGGCGAACGGGUGAGUAACACGUGGGCAAUCUGCCCCAGACUUUGGGAUAACUACUCGAAAGAGUAGCUAAUACCGAAUAUUCAGCCUUGCAGGCAUCUGCGAGGCUGGAAAGUUUCUCGGUCUGGGAUGAGCCCGCGGCCUAUCAGCUAGUUGGUGAGGUAAUGGCUCACCAAGGCGACGACGGGUAGCCGGCCUGAGAGGGCGACCGGCCACACUGGGACUGAGACACGGCCCAGACUCCUACGGGAGGCAGCAGUGGGGAAUAUUGCGCAAUGGGCGAAAGCCUGACGCAGCAACGCCGCGUGCGGGAUGAAGGCCUUCGGGUUGUAAACUCC